GGUCCCAUCCCGAACCCGGAAGUUAAGCCCGCCAGCGCCGAUGGUACUGCACUGGCAACGGUGUGGGAGAGUAGGUCAUCGCCAGGA
Molecule: ribosomal RNA, 87 nt
Filed under: Anaerolineae bacterium
Lineage: Bacteria; Bacillati; Chloroflexota; Anaerolineae
Source: RNAcentral